This 773-nucleotide ribosomal RNA is filed under the name Clavispora fructus. RNAcentral describes it as "LSU rRNA". The stretch from base 122 to 773 matches the Rfam family "Eukaryotic large subunit ribosomal RNA", at positions 1 to 711 of the family's 3401-position model. The record is from RNAcentral. Lineage: Eukaryota; Fungi; Ascomycota; Pichiomycetes; Serinales; Metschnikowiaceae.
CGAGGUAUUCCUCGAGGCAUGCCUGUUUGAGCGUCGGCCCCCCUCUAACCCGCCCGGUUAGGUGUUGACACGAAAUCCCAAGCGCAAUCAAUCUCAUGUUUUUGAUGACGCCCACCCAUUUCGCCCUCAAAUCAGGUAGGACUACCCGCUGAACUUAAGCAUAUCAAUAAGCGGAGGAAAAGAAACCAACAGGGAUUGCCUCAGUAACGGCGAGUGAAGCGGCAAAAGCUCAAAUUUGAAAUCCUGCGGGAGUUGUAAUUUGAAGGUUGCGGGUCCUGAGGCUGUGCGCGCCCAAGUCCAUUGGAACAUGGCGCCUGGGAGGGUGAGAGCCCCGUCCGGCGCAGCGCAGUCUUUUUUGCGGCCCGUUUCCGACGAGUCGAGUUGUUUGGGAAUGCAGCUCAAAGUGGGUGGUAAAUUCCAUCUAAAGCUAAAUAUUGGCGAGAGACCGAUAGCGAACAAGUACAGUGAUGGAAAGAUGAAAAGCACUUUGAAAAGAGAGUGAAACAGUACGUGAAAUUGUUGAAAGGGAAGGGCUUGCAAGCAGACACGGUUUCGGCCGGGCCAGCAUCGGUUUGCCGGGGCGGACAAUGCGGCGGGAAUGUGGCGCGCCUCCUUGUGGGGCGCGUGUUUAUAGCCCGCCGAGAUACGCCCAUGGCAGACCGAGGCCUGCGAUCCAAUCUAGGAUGCUGGCGUAAUGGUUGCAAGCCGCCCGUCUUGAAACACGGACCAAGGAGUCUAACGUCUAUGCGAGUGUUUGGGUGGAUAAAACCCCA